AGUGAACGCUGGCGGUAGGCCUAACACAUGCAAGUCGAACGGCAGCACAGUAAGAGCUUGCUCUUACGGGUGGCGAGUGGCGGACGGGUGAGGAAUACAUCGGAAUCUACUUUUUCGUGGGGGAUAACGUAGGGAAACUUACGCUCAUACCGCAUACGACCUACGGGUGAAAGCAGGGGAUCUUCGGACCUUGCGCGAUUGAAUGAGCCGAUGUCGGAUUAGCUAGUUGGCGGGGUAAAGGCCCACCAAGGCGACGAUCCGUAGCUGGUCUGAGAGGAUGAUCAGCCACACUGGAACUGAGACACGGUCCAGACUACUACGGGAGGCAGCAGUGGGGAAUAUUGGACAAUGGGCGCAAGCCUGAUCCAGCCAUACCGCGUGGGUGAAGAAGGCCUUCGGGUUGUAAAGCCCUUUUGUUGGGAAAGAAAAGCAGCAGGUUAAUACCCCGCUGUUCUGACGGUACCCAAAGAAUAAGCACCGGCUAACUUCGUG
Molecule: ribosomal RNA, 492 nt
Filed under: uncultured bacterium
Lineage: Bacteria
Description: partial 16S ribosomal RNA
Rfam family: Bacterial small subunit ribosomal RNA
Source: RNAcentral